RNAcentral lists this ribosomal RNA (991 nucleotides) under Porphyromonadaceae bacterium. RNAcentral describes it as "partial 23S ribosomal RNA". It matches the Rfam family "Bacterial large subunit ribosomal RNA", at positions 1 to 1063 of the family's 2925-position model. The record is from RNAcentral. Lineage: Bacteria; Pseudomonadati; Bacteroidota; Bacteroidia; Bacteroidales; Porphyromonadaceae.
GUAAAGAUUUUAAGGGCGUACGGCGGAUGCCUUGGCGAUAUCAGCCGAAGAAGGACGCGGUAAGCUGCGAUAAGCUACGGAGAGGUGCAAGCAACCUUUGACCCGUAGAUUUCCGAAUGGGGGAACCCGGCAGUGGUUAUGCACUGUCACCCAUACCUUUGAGUAUGAGGAGGGCACCUGGGGAACUGAAACAUCUAAUUACCCAGAGGAAGAGUAAUCAAACGAGAUUUUCUUAGUAGCGGCGAACGGGAAAGAGGCCAAACCGAAGCGGGCAACCGCAUCGGGGUUGAGGACAGUCAUCAAGUGUAAAUGAGGUAGAAGAAUCGAGUUGGAAAGCUCAGCCGCAGAAGGUGAAAGCCCUGUAAUCGAAACCUUGCAUACAUGGGACUGUAUCCAGAGUACCACGAGACACGUGAAACCUUGUGGGAAGCAGGGGGGACCACCCUCCAAGGCAAAAUACAGAUAUCGACCGAUAGCGCAUAGUACCGUGAGGGAAAGGUGAAAAGCACCCCGGGAGGGGAGUGAAAGAGAACCUGAAACCGUAUGUCUACAAACAGUCGAAGUCUGUAUAUAUAUCAGGACGACGGCGUGCCUAUUGAAGAAUGAACCGACGAGUUACUGUUGCUAGCGAGGUUAAGUGGAAAACAUGGAGCCGCAGCGAAAGCGAGUCUGAACAGGGCGUUCAGUUAGUGAUAGUAGACCCGAAACCGUAGUGAUCUAUCCANNNNNNNNNNGAGUUGGGGAUAGGGGUGAAAUGCCAAUCGAACACGGAGAUAGCUGGUUCUCCCCGAAAUAGCUUUAGGGCUAGCCUCGAGGUUGAGAGUAUAGGCGGUAGAGCACUGAUCGGGCUAGGGGCCAUACCGGUUACCGAACCUAGUCAAACUACGAAUGGCUAUACUUAUACUCGGGAGUCAGACAGUGAAUGAUAAGGUCCAUUGUCAAGAGGGAAACAGCCCAGAACACCGACUAAGGUCCCAAAUGUUACACUAAG